This 230-nucleotide long non-coding RNA is filed under the name Elaeis guineensis (African oil palm). RNAcentral's name for it is "long non-coding RNA (EGUI_LNC015896)". Lineage: Eukaryota; Viridiplantae; Streptophyta; Magnoliopsida; Arecales; Arecaceae. The record is from RNAcentral.
GGGGUUUUCUCUUAUCUCCAUUUAUAGAGAGAACAGGAUGAAGAAUGAAAGAGUGAAAAUGUAUUCCGAUAAUGUUCUGUCAUAUGGAGCCACAUGGGAGCAUCUUUAAAUGGCCUCGUCAGCGCGCAUGUCCUUUGUCCGACGUGCCGGUGGUCGCGGUGGCGGGCCUUUUCGCGAGCACGUGGCAUAAUUAAUAACUUUAUGGUAUCCUAUCAUAGUGCAGAGCAGAC